UAAUAAACUAUAUUUCAUUUCCUGAAGGGUCAGCAAAAGACCAACUGUGGGGCAGAAAACAGAGCAGGAGAGAGAGUGUGAGCUCCCCAGCUUCCCUCCCGUUCUCCAACUGCAGAACCGGAACCGGGGGCUUUGGAACAGGGCAAAGGGACCCCUGCGUGUGUGAUCCCUGCUGCGCUUUGGGGAGCCCCGUGCGGCUGAGCAAAUGGCGUGAGGCUGGAAAUGAGGGUAUUGGGGUGGAGACAUGCAGAUGGGACUGGGUUUCUGUAAGGAAAUCACCAUUGCAGUGCUCAGCGCUGUUGUGUUGGACAUUAGACUUGGGGCGAGAACCGUGGGUGUCUUGCUUCUUCUCCAUCUUUCUUUGGCUGGAGACAAUCAUUGGCCGCCACCUAGCUGCAGAAACUGGCAGCAAGUGGGGGCCGUGGGAAUAAAGGCUUUCACCACCUCAUCGGCCACCCGCUCCUGGAGCUGAUUCUCUGUUCUGGUUACCUAUCGGUUUAUGGCAAAACCUGAAUGACAGAGAGAGAUGUGGGUGGCAGGGUCCGGGCAUCCAGCCCAGUCAUCCUCUCCCUGGUCCCAGGCUCUGCACUCACACUGCUUUCUCUCACCCUUUAACAAGUAGACUUUUAAUUUUAGAAGGGUUUUAGAUUCACAGGAACAUUGCAGAGAGAGUACAGAGAUGCCCAUUUAUUCUAUGACCUGCUGCCAAUCCCCCCUCUUGUUAAUAUCUUAUGUUAGUGUGAUGCAUUUGUUACAAUGAUUGAGCCAAGCUCGAGACAUUGCUGUUAACUGGAGUCUGUGCUUUGUUCAGAUGUCCUUAGUUCGUUCUUUGUGUCCUUUGUUCUGUUACAGGAUUCAGGACACUGAUACACCAUGCCUCCUCUUGACCCCAACGGUUUCCGGACUCUUGUUUUGAAUGACCUUGAUGAUCUGAAUGACCUUGAUGGUUUUGAGGAGUGCUGGUCAGGUGUCAGGGGUGGGGUUCAUGUUCACCGGAAGGUGUGGAAAAGCAGUGUCGCAAUUGGAAGAGUUGUGUUGUUUUCAGGAGCUCGCCACCUGGAGGUGGAAGGUGAACCUUGCAGCGAGGCUGGAAAUGGACUGAAGGACCCCAAAGACAGAGCAGGAGGUCCUUCCGUGAGCACCCGGAGGAGACGCGUUUACAGGCAUCAGGGGGACUGCAGAGGGCUCCCAGAAUGAUGGAACAAGA
Molecule: long non-coding RNA, 1207 nt
Filed under: Ursus thibetanus thibetanus
Lineage: Eukaryota; Metazoa; Chordata; Mammalia; Carnivora; Ursidae
Description: lncRNA (ENSUTTG00000016902.1)
Source: RNAcentral